GACGAACGCUGGCGGCGUGCUUAACACAUGCAAGUGGAGCGACGAACCGGGGCUUGCCCCGGGGCAGAGCCGCGAACGGGUGAGUAACACGUGGGUAACCCACCCCGAUGACCGGGACAACCCGAGGAAACUCGGGCUAAUACCGGAUGUGCUCCUUGACCUCGAGGUCAAGGCGUAAAGAUAGCUUCGGCCUUCGCAUCGGGACGGGCCCGCGGCCCAUUAGCUUGUUGGUGGGGUAAAGGCCUACCAAGGCGACGANGGGUAGCUGGUCUGAGAGGACGAUCAGCCACACUGGGAC
RNAcentral lists this ribosomal RNA (298 nucleotides) under uncultured bacterium. RNAcentral's name for it is "partial 16S ribosomal RNA". It matches the Rfam family "Bacterial small subunit ribosomal RNA", at positions 28 to 319 of the family's 1533-position model. The record is from RNAcentral.